UACAGAGGGUGCGAGCGUUGUCCGGAAUCACUGGGCGUAAAGGGCGCGUAGGCGGCUCAGUAAGGUUGCGGUGAAAGCCCGGGGCUCAACCCCGGGUCGGCCGUGGCAACUGCUGGGCUGGAGCACUGUAGAGGCAGGUGGAAUUCCGGGUGUAGCGGUGGAAUGCGUAGAGAUCCGGAAGAACACCGGUGGCGAAGGCGGCAUCCUGGACCGAUAUUGACGCUGAUGCGCGAAAGCCAGGGGAGCAAACGGG
RNAcentral lists this ribosomal RNA (253 nucleotides) under uncultured bacterium. Its description in RNAcentral is "partial 16S ribosomal RNA". It matches the Rfam family "Bacterial small subunit ribosomal RNA", at positions 524 to 776 of the family's 1533-position model. The record is from RNAcentral.